RNAcentral lists this ribosomal RNA (402 nucleotides) under uncultured bacterium. RNAcentral describes it as "bacterial SSU rRNA". It matches the Rfam family "Bacterial small subunit ribosomal RNA", at positions 355 to 774 of the family's 1533-position model. The record is from RNAcentral.
UGGGGAAUCUUGCACAAUGGGGGCAACCCUGAUGCAGCGACGCCGCGUGAGCGAUGAAGCCCUUCGGGGCGUAAAGCUCUUUCGACCGGAACGAUAAUGACGGUACCGGGAGAAGAAGCUGCGGCUAACUACGUGCCAGCAGCCGCGGUAAUACGUAGGCAGCAAGCGUUGUUCGGAGUUACUGGGCGUAAAGAGUGCGUAGGCGGUUUUCUAAGUUCGGUGUGAAAUCUCCCGGCUUAACUGGGAGGGUGCGCCGAAGACUGGGAAGCUGGAGUGUGGGAAAGGCAGGCGGAAUUCCUGGUGUAGCGGUGAAAUGCGUAGAUAUCGAGAGGAACACCAGUGGCGAAGGCGAGUCCCUGGACGACUCCUGACACUGAGGCACGAAAGCUAGGGGAGCAAACA